This 508-nucleotide ribosomal RNA is filed under the name uncultured bacterium. Its description in RNAcentral is "partial 16S ribosomal RNA". It matches the Rfam family "Bacterial small subunit ribosomal RNA", at positions 28 to 523 of the family's 1533-position model. The record is from RNAcentral.
GAUGAACGCUAGCUACAGGCUUAACACAUGCAAGUCGAGGGGAAACGACAUCGAAAGCUUGCUUUUGAUGGGCGUCGACCGGCGCACGGGUGAGUAACGCGUAUCCAACCUGCCCACCACUUGGGGAUAACCUUGCGAAAGUAAGACUAAUACCCAAUGAUAUCUCUAGAAGACAUCUGAAAGAGAUUAAAGAUUUAUCGGUGAUGGAUGGGGAUGCGUCUGAUUAGCUUGUUGGCGGGGUAACGGCCCACCAAGGCUACGAUCAGUAGGGGUUCUGAGAGGAAGGUCCCCCACAUGGGAACUGAGACACGGUCCAACCUCCUACGGGAGGCAGCAGUGAGGAAUAUUGGUCAAUGGACGGGAGUCUGAACCAGCCAAGUAGCGUGCAGGAUGACGGCCCUAUGGGUUGUAAACUGCUUUUAUAAGGGAAUAAAGUGAGUCUCGUGAGACUUUUUGCAUGUACCUUAUGAAUAAGGACCGGCUAAUUCCGUGCCAGCCGCCGCCGUAA